This is a non-coding RNA of Mycena latifolia, 98 nucleotides long. NCBI's taxonomy places the organism in Eukaryota, Fungi, Basidiomycota, Agaricomycetes, Agaricales, Mycenaceae. The record is from the annotation of a GenBank genome assembly.
GGCCGCCUGGCGAAAUGGCAUCGCGUCUGACUACGAUUGCGGGUAUUCUCUUAGCUUACAUAAUCAGGAGAUUGCAGGUUCGACCCCUGCGGUGGUCA